UUUUCUAGGUCUUUAUGACCAAGUGUUUUGUCUCUAGCUUGGUUUAUGUUUUGUCUUGUUCCAUGCAUGUGGGGUUUUUUUUCUGCAGAUCAUGCACUGUGACGUUUUUGAGGCUUCUACACAAAUUUUAGCCAUUGGCAUAUCUGGAAAUCUGUGAUAGAGUCAGAAGCUGGGAAAAGAUGAUGGAGCACUACCUACCUGUCCUUUACUGAGGAAACAGAGGGAUAGACAGCUGUGUCAACGUUGCCAUGGUGAAUAAGAUUAGUACAUUCAGCAUCAAUGAAUACUAAAAAGACAAUGACGUACCACAGUGAAAUCCAGGGCUGAGGUGGCUGCAGGAUAUUUUUCCAAGAAAACAACAAUGGAAGACAGAGCUGCUCAGCAACACUGAAGGUUAAAUCAGUGAUUCAAAUGCCUGAACUAUGUAUUUAGGUGCCUUACAAUAUGAAACAACCUUAAAAUAUUCUUUCAUAUUUUGUAUUUCACAAAUAUACAUUUAAUAAAACAUCACUCUAAUCUA
Molecule: non-coding RNA, 520 nt
Organism: Phalacrocorax carbo (great cormorant)
Lineage: Eukaryota; Metazoa; Chordata; Aves; Suliformes; Phalacrocoracidae
Source: RefSeq, a predicted model, not a curated record